UUGGAGGGCAAGUCUGGUGCCAGCAGCCGCGGUAAUUCCAGCUCCAAUAGCGUAUAUUAAAGUUGUUGCAGUUAAAAAGCUCGUAGUUGAAUUUCGGGAUCAGAGUGUCGGUCGUGCCUCGGUACGCACUGGUAUUAUUGGUUCCUACCUUCUGAAGAACCGCGAUGUCAUUAAUUUGGUGUCGUGGGGAAUCAGGACUGUUACUUUGAAAAAAUUAGAGUGUUUAAAGCAGGCUUACGCUUGAAUACAUUAGCAUGGAAUAAUGAAGUAGGACGUUUGAUUCUAUUUUGUUGGUUUCUAGGAUUGACGUAAUGAUUAAUAGGGAUAGUUGGGGGCAUUAGUAUUCAAUUGUCAGAGGUGAAAUUCUUGGAUUUAUUGAAGACUAACUACUGCGAAAGCAUUUGCCAAGGAUGUUUUCAUUAAUCAAGAACGAAAGUUAGGGGAUCGAAGACGAUCAGAUACCGUCGUAGUCUUAACCAUAAACUAUGCCGACUAGGGAUCGGAUGAUGUUAAUUUUUUAAUGACUCAUUCGGCGCCUUACGGGAAACCAAAGUGUUUGGGUUC
RNAcentral lists this ribosomal RNA (564 nucleotides) under uncultured Glomeromycotina. RNAcentral describes it as "SSU rRNA". It matches the Rfam family "Eukaryotic small subunit ribosomal RNA", at positions 548 to 1114 of the family's 1831-position model. Lineage: Eukaryota; Fungi; Glomeromycota. The record is from RNAcentral.